RNAcentral lists this long non-coding RNA (452 nucleotides) under Homo sapiens (human). RNAcentral describes it as "HSALNT0146589". Lineage: Eukaryota; Metazoa; Chordata; Mammalia; Primates; Hominidae. The record is from RNAcentral.
GGAUAUAUAAAGCAUUAUUAUGAGCUUCGCAGAUACUCCAGAAAUUGACCACCUCACAUGAUGCACCCCUGACGAAAGUUAAGAAGAUGAGCCAUGCUGCUGAAGGAUAAAUAGAAGAUAUAUUUGAAGUUCAUAUAAAGAGGAAAAUGAAGUAUGCAACCCUUGAUGAAAUAAAAUGAAAGAAAACUGAGAGAGCAAGUAUCAAUAUUUCAAAGAUAGAGAAAUAAUGAGAGAAUGAAAGAUCCUCAUGAGGAAUUUUCAACAGGUUUGAAAGUUCAGUUUUCAAUGUUAAUGAAAAGAAACUUUGUCCAGGAGCUGCAGUGUCCUUUGAGUUUCAGAAAAUCCAAGAAAAAAUAAAGAUUCAUGAAGUUGCUCUGACAUAAAUCUAACAAGUGACCUUAAAUUAAUGGAGUAAGCAGAUCAUUUGUGAAAUCAAAUUGGUAACCGAAAUA